This is a long non-coding RNA of Ahaetulla prasina, 552 nucleotides long. RefSeq lists it as uncharacterized. Lineage: Eukaryota; Metazoa; Chordata; Lepidosauria; Squamata; Colubridae. The record is from RefSeq and is a predicted model, not a curated record. The transcript has 2 exons.
UUUGGCCGAUAAUGGCAAUUAAACUAUUAUCUUGGAAUGUUAAUGGUUUGAAUUCACCGCAGAAGAGAAGGAAAGUAUUUCAUUAUUUGAAACAAUUUAAAAAUGACAUUACUUGUUUACAAGAAACACAUAUUAGAUCUUUAGACCAGAAAUAUUUGAUAAAUUCAAAACUGGGAGUACAUUUUGUUGCCUCCUCUUUGGAGAAAAAAUGCAUUUUGGAUUAAAGUAUGGUGGAUCAUGCAGAAUAUUUUGAAAAGAAGAUUAAGUUUACCCCGCAGUUCUUUUUACUAGGAAUAAUUAUGGAUUGUACAGCUAUAGAGACUAAAUUGAUUCUGAACUUAAUAACAGCCGCAAGACUUUUGAUUGCUCAAUAUUGGAAGAAAGAAGAAUUACCUACAAUUGAAGAAUGGACUCUUAAAGUAUCAAAUCUGGCAGAAAUGGCAAAAAUUUCUGCUUACUUGAAAGACUAUACACAAGAAAAAUAUAUUUUAGAAUGGAAAAUGUGGAUUGAUUAUAUUCAAAAUAAGUAUCAGAUAAAAAAAUAUCAAAUAG